This 1466-nucleotide ribosomal RNA is filed under the name uncultured Bordetella sp. RNAcentral describes it as "partial 16S-23S ribosomal RNA intergenic spacer". It matches the Rfam family "Bacterial small subunit ribosomal RNA". The record is from RNAcentral. Lineage: Bacteria; Pseudomonadati; Pseudomonadota; Betaproteobacteria; Burkholderiales; Alcaligenaceae.
GUUUGAUCAUGGCUCUGAUUGAACGCUGCUGGCGGAUGCUUUACACAUGAAGUCGAACGGCAGCACGGACUUCGGUCUGGUGGCGAGUGGCGAACGGGUGUACGUAUCGGAACGCCUAGUAGUGUAGAACUACGCGAAAGCGUAGCUAAUACCGCAUACGCCCUUCGGGGGAAAGCGGGGGGACCUUCGGGCCUCGCACUAUUAGAGCGGCUGAUAUCGGAUUAGCUAGUUGGUGGGGUACCGUCACUGCGGUGACGAUCCGUAGCUGGUUUGAGAGGACGACUACUACACUGGGACUGAGACACGGCCCAGACUCCUACGGGAGGCAGCAGUGGGGAAUUUUGGACAAUGGGGGAACCUGAUCCAGCCAUCCCGCGUAGGCGAUGAAGGCCUUCGGGUUGUAAAAGCACUUUUGGCAGGAAAGAAACGGCACGGGAUAAUACCCCGUGCAACUGACGGUACCUGCAGAAUAAGCACCGGCUAACUACGUGCCAGCAGCCGCGGUAAUACGUAGGGUGCAAGCGUUAAUCGGAAUUACUGGGCGUAAGCGCGUGCAGGCGGUUCGGAAAGAAAGAUGUGAAAUCCCAGAGCUUAACUUUGGAACUGCAUUUUUAACUACCGAGCUAGAGUGUACGAGGGAGGUGGAAUUCCGCGUGUAGCAGGAAAUGCGUAGAUAUGCGGAGGAACACCGAUGGCGAAGGCAGCCUCCUGGGAUAACAAAUUGACGCUCAUGCACGAAAGCGUGGGAGCAAACAGGAUUAGAUACCCUGGUAGUCCACGCCCUAAACGAUGUCAACUAGCUGUUGGGGGCCUUCGGGCCUUGGUAGCGCAGCUAACGCGUGAAGUUGACCGCCUGGGGAGUACGGUCGCAAGAUUAAAACUCAAAGGAAUUGACGGACCCGCACAAGCGGUGGAUGAUGUGGAUUAAUUCGAUGCAACGCGAAAAACCUUACCUACCUUUGAUAUGUCUGGAAUCCCGAAGAGAUUUGGGAGUGCUCGUGGAGAACCGGAACACAGGUGCCGCAUGGCUGUCGUCAGCUCGUGUCGUGAGAUGUUGGGUUAAGUCCCGCAACGAGCGGGCAACCCUUGUCAUUAGUUGAAGCGUACCUGACGAGACUGCCGGUGACAAACCGGAGGAAGGUGGGGAUGACGUCAAGUCCCUCAUGGCCUUUGCAGGGCUUCACACGUCAUACAAUGGUCGGGACUAUGAGGGUCGCCAACCCGCGAGGGGGAGCCAAUCCCAGAAACCCGACUGGGAAUCCGGAUCGCAGUCUGCACCUGACUGCGUGAAGUCGGAAUCACAGUAAUCUUAGAUCAGCAUGUCGCGGUGAAUACGUUCCCGGGUCUUGUACACACCGCCCGUCACACCAUGGAGUGGGUUUUACCAGAAGUAGUUAGCCUAACCGUAAGGAGGGCGAUUACCACGGUAGGAUUCAGCAUGACUGGGUGAAGUCGUAACAAGGUAG